RNAcentral lists this transfer RNA (68 nucleotides) under Gampsocleis sedakovii. RNAcentral describes it as "tRNA-Glu". Lineage: Eukaryota; Metazoa; Arthropoda; Insecta; Orthoptera; Tettigoniidae. The record is from RNAcentral.
AUUUAUAACAUUUCUAAUUUAACAUUACAUUUUCACUGUAAAAAUAAUAUUUCCAUUAUUUAUAAAUA